GCAAGUCGAGGGGCAGCAUCAUUAAAGCUUGCUUUGAUGGAUGGCGACCGGCGCACGGGUGAGUAACACGUAUCCAACCUGCCGACAACACUGGGAUAGCCUUUCGAAAGAAAGAUUAAUACCGGAUGGCAUAGUUUUCCCGCAUGGGAUAAUUAUUAAAGAAUUUCGGUUGUCGAUGGGGAUGCGUUCCAUUAGGCAGUUGGCGGGGUAACGGCCCACCAAACCAACGAUGGAUAGGGGUUCUGAGAGGAAGGUCCCCCACAUUGGAACUGAGACACGGUCCAAACUCCUACGGGAGGCAGCAGUGAGGAAUAUUGGUCAAUGGACGAGAGUCUGAACCAGCCAAGUAGCGUGAAGGAUGACUGCCCUAUGGGUUGUAAACUUCUUUUAUACGGGAAUAAAGUGAGCCACGUGUGGCUUUUUGUAUGUACCGUAUGAAUAAGGAUCGGCUAACUCCGUGCCAGCAGCCGCGGUAAUACGGAGGAUCCGAGCGUUAUCCGGAUUUAUUGGGUUUAAAGGGAGCGUAGGCGGGUUGUUAAGUCAGUUGUGAAAGUUUGCGGCUCAACCGUAAAAUUGCAGUUGAUACUGGCGACCUUGAGUGCAACAGAGGUAGGCGGAAUUCGUGGUGUAGCGGUGAAAUGCUUAGAUAUCACGAAGAACUCCGAUUGCGAAGGCAGCUUACUGGAUUGUAACUGACGCUGAUGCUCGAAAGUGUGGGUAUCAAACAGGAUUAGAUACCCUGGUAGUCCACACAGUAAACGAUGAAUACUCGCUGUUGGCGAUAUACGGUCAGCGGCCAAGCGAAAGCAUUAAGUAUUCCACCUGGGGAGUACGCCGGCAACGGUGAAACUCAAAGGAAUUGACGGGGGCCCGCACGAGCGGAGGAACAUGUGGUUUAAUUCG
Molecule: ribosomal RNA, 903 nt
Filed under: uncultured bacterium
Lineage: Bacteria
Description: bacterial SSU rRNA
Rfam family: Bacterial small subunit ribosomal RNA
Source: RNAcentral